RNAcentral lists this ribosomal RNA (446 nucleotides) under uncultured bacterium. Its description in RNAcentral is "partial 16S ribosomal RNA". It matches the Rfam family "Bacterial small subunit ribosomal RNA", at positions 329 to 792 of the family's 1533-position model. The record is from RNAcentral.
UGCCAGACUCCUACGGGAGGCAGCAGUGGGGAAUAUUGCACAAUGGGGGAAACCCUGAUGCAGCGACGCCGCGUGAGCGAAGAAGUACCUCGGUAUGUAAAGCUCUAUCAGCAGGGAAGAAGAUGACGGUACCUGACCAAGAAGCUCCGGCUAAAUACGUGCCAGCAGCCGCGGUAAUACGUAUGGAGCAAGCGUUAUCCGGAUUUACUGGGUGUAAAGGGAGCGUAGGCGGCAAGGCAAGUCUGAUGUGAAAACCCAGGGCCCAACCCUGGGACUGCAUUGGAAACUGUAUUGCUUGAGUACCGGAGAGGCAGGCGGAAUUCCUAGUGUAGCGGUGAAAUGCGUAGAUAUUAGGAGGAACACCAGUGGCGAAGGCGGCCUGCUGGACGGUAACUGACGCUGAGGCUCGAAAGCGUGGGGAGCAAACAGGAUUAGAUACCCCGGUA